Molecule: ribosomal RNA, 657 nt
Filed under: Salmonella enterica subsp. enterica serovar Infantis
Lineage: Bacteria; Pseudomonadati; Pseudomonadota; Gammaproteobacteria; Enterobacterales; Enterobacteriaceae
Also listed under: 1 other name
Description: partial 23S ribosomal RNA
Rfam family: Bacterial large subunit ribosomal RNA
Source: RNAcentral
AGACCCGAAACCCGGUGAUCUAGCCAUGGGCAGGUUGAAGGUUGGGUAACACUAACUGGAGGACCGAACCGACUAAUGUUGAAAAAUUAGCGGAUGACCUGUGGCUGGGGGUGAAAGGCCAAUCAAACCGGGAGAUAGCUGGUUCUCCCCGAAAGCUAUUUAGGUAGCGCCUCGUGAAUUCAUCUCCGGGGGUAGAGCACUGUUUCGGCUAGGGGGCCAUCCCGGCUUACCAACCCGAUGCAAACUGCGAAUACCGGAGAAUGUUAUCACGGGAGACACACGGCGGGUGCUAACGUCCGUCGUGAAGAGGGAAACAACCCAGACCGCCAGCUAAGGUCCCAAAGUCAUGGUUAAGUGGGAAACGAUGUGGGAAGGCCCAGACAGCCAGGAUGUUGGCUUAGAAGCAGCCAUCAUUUAAAGAAAGCGUAAUAGCUCACUGGUCGAGUCGGCCUGCGCGGAAGAUGUAACGGGGCUAAACCAUGCACCGAAGCUGCGGCAGCGACACUCAGGUGUUGUUGGGUAGGGGAGCGUUCUGUAAGUCUGCGAAGGUGGCCUGUGAGGGUUGCUGGAGGUAUCAGAAGUGCGAAUGCUGACAUAAGUAACGAUAAAGCGGGUGAAAAGCCCGCUCGCCGGAAGACCAAGGGUUCCUGUCCAACG